UUUUGGGUAGAAUUCGGCGACAGUCGACAAGGCUGCCGCCAAGACGUACAGUCGCGAAGACCGUCGGGAAGGCCGUCGGAAAACUCCUUGGCAACUGUCGGCCAGCUGGUCGGCCAACCAAUUGACAGACAAUCUGCAAGACUGUCGUCAAGACCGUCUGUGACUGUCGGCCAAUCGGUCUGCAGAUUCAUGGUUGUCGUGAACAUGGCGCCAUUUAAAAAAAAAAAAGUGAGCGUUGAUUUUGUCUGUCAUCCUCUGCCCUAGUGACUGUCAUAAUCUUGCUUUUCUCGCCACCAAAUCGGUGAAGAUUCGUUUUACUACCUUGGUCUUUUCAAUGCUGAGCCCAAUACAUUCACACAACCACCCUGCUGGCAGUUACCAGACAGUAAAAACUACAACGCCCUUAUGAGAACUGCAGCGGAGACUGUUGGGUGAAAGGUACAGUGUUGAUUGGCCACGGUGAAGCUUGUGUAAAUGAUCCUCCACAGCCCCCUACCUAUAGAAUAUACCUACAGAAUCACUUAGUUUUUUUAGAAUCACCACCUAGUCUGGACCGUAUGGGGUCUGUGUGGUUCUAUGUAAAUCUAUGUAAACCACAUCUAAAAUUCUUUGUAAGUCUUCCGCAGAGUCCCUCAAGAUCACAUCGUCCGCAUACAACAACACACACAACUUGUCCUCUCCAACUCUCACGCCUGCAUCCAUUGUUCUCGCCCUGACUGCCAGCUCCUCUGCAUACAGGCUAAAUAAUGCUGGGGACAGAUUGCAGCCCUGCCUCACUCCUCUCUCGCUCCUCACCCAGUCUGUCUCUUGGUUCGCUAGCCUGUAUUUUGCUCUUGUGCUUGCAUACAUAUUCUUAACUAUGUUCACAAUCUUAUCACGCAAUCCAAUCUGCUCCAGCCCUCUACACAACAUACUCCUAUUAACACUGUCAUAAGCUUUCUCUAUGUCUAGACAACCUAGGUACAGCUUUUCCCCUGCUCUCUUUUUCCUUUCAGUCAGUUCCUUCACAACAAACCUAUUAUCUUCAGCUCUCCUGUCCACUCGUAAACCAUUCUGCUCCUCCCCUAGGCUGCCCUCCUCCUCUCACUCCAUCCACACAACCUUUCAUUCAGCACUGCACAAAAAACUUUCCCUACUGUGUUUACAAGGGAGAUUGGUCUGUAAUUCUUAAGGGCCUAAUAAAUAGUUUUGAAGUUAUUUAAGUUAGUCUGAUGCGUUUGGAGGCAAUAGAUAAGGAGGAAGUGUUGGCGUCGAGGUAAAUAUUGUUAGGCCCGCCGCCCUUCCUGCCUCCCGCCUGUGCCUGCCUCCCGCCGUGUUGGGGAAUGGCUGCACCUUUUUGUGAAUGUCUCGCUGGGAACGCCGGGAAGCCUGGCAUGGCGGGCAGGAGCAGGAACAGCAGGGACGGGGCCAGCAGGAGGAGGAGGAGCAGAGGUGAGAGGAGACUCCUGGCCGGCUGCGGCAGGAAAGGUGUGCACAGGUGUGUAAGUUUGUCCCCGGUACUCACAGGUGUGUAAGUUGUCCCCAGUACUCACAGGUGUGUAAGUUGUCCCCAGUACUCACAGGUGUGUAAGUUGUCCCCAGUACUCACAGGUGUGUAAGUUUGUCCCCGGUACUCACAGGUGUGUAAGUUUGUCCCCGGUACUCACAGGUGUGUAAGUUGUCCCCGGUACUCACAGGUGUGUAAGUUGUCCCCAGUACUCACAGGUGUGUAAGUUGUCCCCAGUACUCACAGGUGUGUAAGUUGUCCCCAGUACUCACAGGUGUGUAAGUUGUCCCCGGUACUCACAGGUGUGUAAGUUGUCCCCUGUACUCACAGGUGUGUAAGUUGUCCCCAGUACUCACAGGUGUGUAAGUUGUCCCCAGUACUCACAGGUGUGUAAGUUGUCCCCAGUACUCACAGGUGUGUAAGUUGUCCCCAGUACUCACAGGUGUGUAAGUUGUCCCCAGUACUCACAGGUGUGUAAGUUGUCCCCAGUACUCACAGGGGUUAAGAUUCGUUUUGGGUCCGUGCCAGUAUCUCAUUACCUACCUUAUGAAA
Molecule: long non-coding RNA, 2038 nt
Organism: Eriocheir sinensis (Chinese mitten crab)
Lineage: Eukaryota; Metazoa; Arthropoda; Malacostraca; Decapoda; Varunidae
Exons: 3
Source: RefSeq, a predicted model, not a curated record